RNAcentral lists this transfer RNA (87 nucleotides) under Chloroflexota bacterium. RNAcentral describes it as "Chloroflexi bacterium tRNA-Ser". It matches the Rfam family "tRNA". Rfam says of the family: Transfer RNA (tRNA) molecules are approximately 80 nucleotides in length. Their secondary structure includes four short double-helical elements and three loops (D, anti-codon, and T loops). Further hydrogen bonds mediate the characteristic L-shaped molecular structure. tRNAs have two regions of fundamental functional importance: the anti-codon, which is responsible for specific mRNA codon recognition, and the 3' end, to which the tRNAs corresponding amino acid is attached (by aminoacyl-tRNA synthetases). tRNAs cope with the degeneracy of the genetic code in two manners: having more than one tRNA (with a specific anti-codon) for a particular amino acid; and 'wobble' base-pairing, i.e. permitting non-standard base-pairing at the 3rd anti-codon position. Lineage: Bacteria; Bacillati; Chloroflexota. The record is from RNAcentral.
GGAGGGGUGGCAGAGUGGUCGAAUGCGGCGGUCUUGAAAACCGCUGAAGUCGCAAGGCUUCCGUGGGUUCGAAUCCCACCCCCUCCG